Molecule: ribosomal RNA, 468 nt
Filed under: uncultured bacterium
Lineage: Bacteria
Description: partial 16S ribosomal RNA
Rfam family: Bacterial small subunit ribosomal RNA
Source: RNAcentral
GACGAACGCUGGCGGCGUGCUUAACACAUGCAAGUCGAACGGAAAGGCCCUGCUUUUGUGGGGUGCUCGAGUGGCGAACGGGUGAGUAACACGUGAGUAACCUGCCCUAGACUUUGGGAUAACUUCAGGAAACUGGGGCUAAUACCGGAUAGCAUCUCCUGCUGCAUGGUGGGGGUUGGAAAUUUUCGGCGGUUGGGGAUGGACUGGCGGCUUAUCAGCUUGUUGGUGGGGUAGUGGCUUACCAAGGCUUUGACGGGUAGCCGGCCUGAGAGGGUGACCGGCCACAUUAGGACUGAGAUAGGGACCAGACUCGUACGGGAGGCAGCAGUGGGGAAUCUUGUACAGUGGGAGGACGUCGGAGGCAGCAACGCCGCGUGCGGGAUGACGGUUUUCGGGUUGAAAACAGCUUUCGCCUGUGACGAAGCGGGAGUGACGGUAAUCGGUAAAGAAGCACCGGCUAACUACGUG